UGUGAAGGAGAGCUGUAUAUCUAGAGAGCCUUCACCAGUUGAGUGAGUGCUAGUGCUCUUUCUGUAUAUGACUAUUGGCCUACCUUGUUCUCAUAGAAGACAAUUGAGAUGUGAAGUACAGCAUUGCAGUCUUCGUGUGAGGAUGGUUACAUCCAGAUGCUGUUCCAUCCAUACACCUGAGCUUUGCUCACACAGGCUACAGGUGGGAUUCCCUUGAGACUCAGCAGCUGAGGAGCAUGCUUCAAUUCUUCCACAUCAGCCAAAUACUUAGAGAUUUAGCAGAGCAUAUAUCAGUAACUGGAGGAAGGUCCCAGAGUUUUACUGUUUAUUUCUGCAAAAGUUACAGCGGUGACAACCUAUCUGAAGCACAACAAAGCAUCAUAAUCUCAUUGUAAAACAUUUGUGGGAUGCCAUAAGAAGCCUAGAGGUAGUGUAGUAUCGCGCAGUAUCUUUCCAUAAAGGUAUUGUUUGUUUUUGAUGGGGAGUUGUAGAAUUGCUGAAAUUAGUGGAGUGAAAGGCUUUUCUGUGCCUGUCUAACAGAACUGAGAAAUAUGAAAGCUUCAAAUAGCUCUUUUACAAGCUGCUUUCAAGCCUGAAAUAGAGCCUAGUCUUGAGGGGAGGGGAAACAAGCAUCCUGAUUCCAUCAGAUGUCAAUUUUUAGUUCUGUGGUCCCUUUAAUAACAAGCCCAGUGGAAAAAAAGGGAAAGUUGAAUGAAUACAUUUUUUUUGACAUUUUGUUUAUUAGUAUUUUAUCUAGGCUAGUAGUAAAUGAAUAGACUUGUCAGCAGAAAUCUCUUGGUGAAACAAAUAAAGAAUCUUAAUAGGCAGAGAGAACAGAACUAACAGCAAAUUGCUCACAAAGAGCUCUAAUUUAUUGGUUUCCUUUUCAUGAAGAUCCUGUUCUGGAUUCUGGCUUUGCCAGAAGAAACAGCUGAAUGACUAUAUGAAUUGUCAGAAAGAAACUGCUGUGAGAAAGGGGAAGACUUGAGGAAAGUCUAUUGCUGUUAACACUUUCCUCAAAAUAUUUUUUUUCUACGGAGUAAAAAGUUUUCUUGGUUUGAUUUAAGCAAUUCUAUGGAAGUAAAUUUUCUUUGAAUUGAAUUUCCUUUUCCAUUGUUACACUCUGAACCUUUACUGCUGUAAAGUGACUUUGUCAGCACCUAAUUCCAAAGUAGACCCCUCAAAAAAUCAAAGAGGAGAAAAAUGCAGAAAUAUGAUUGUCUAAAAGUUAAAAUAUUUUGAAUUCAGUACUUCAUUGGUAUUUUUAGUAUUCUAUUGCAAACACUCCUGGCUUUCUGAUGGAACGAAGAAUGAAAAACAGGUUACACAAUGUAAAAAGAUUGAGGGGGGAGGAUAGAACUGGUUCAAUUAUGUAUUGCAUGUUGUUUGUAUUUUUUUU
Long non-coding RNA from Lagopus leucura (white-tailed ptarmigan), 1399 nucleotides. RefSeq lists it as uncharacterized. The record is from RefSeq and is a predicted model, not a curated record. The transcript has 3 exons. NCBI's taxonomy places the organism in Eukaryota, Metazoa, Chordata, Aves, Galliformes, Phasianidae.